This 1695-nucleotide long non-coding RNA is filed under the name Lupinus angustifolius (narrow-leaved blue lupine). RNAcentral describes it as "long non-coding RNA (LANG_LNC003722)". Lineage: Eukaryota; Viridiplantae; Streptophyta; Magnoliopsida; Fabales; Fabaceae. The record is from RNAcentral.
GGGCAUAACACAUUAUAUUUAAUUUUCUAGUCGUAAACCUAUCUUGUGCGGAUCAUGCAUAUCCUGCUACAAUGCGAUCAUCAGAUCUCAUGGUGUCUCUUGUCAAUUCCAUCAUUUAUGAAAAAGUCUAUCCGAGCAUAAUAAUAUGUUGAUACAAAUAAUUCAUAGUCAAUACGUAUACCAACUAAAAUCGUUGGAAUAGAAUCAUCCAAAAGAACAUAUCAAAGGCUCUUUUAAGAUAUUACAACAAUUCAAUAGAGAACAGUUUGAUUACAACAAAAUGGGUCUAGUCAUAUGCGUCAAUCCAAUGCUUCUCGAGUCUUCUAAUGACAUGGAAUGGAAACCCCUGUCAAUACCUGAAAAUCCAAAGCACACUUUCAGAGUAGUUGCGUAACAAAAUUUGAGGAUACAAGCAUAACCACACACAACGUGUUCUGGAAAUACAUGUUCAAGUGGGGGUGAACAUUAGAAUUUUCUGUUCAAAUGGUUUAAAACUCGAUGUUUUGCCAUGAAGAUGAAAGCUGUAGUAAUUUGAUGGGCAUCCAAAUGAUCAAUUAGAAGGGAUUAAUAGUGAAAGCAUGUUUAAAGAGUAAGCCACUAAGAAACUAACGCAGUCCAAAUCCAUUACCAAAUUAACAAUCCAAGUAAGAGCACAAAGUGUCUUGGUCCUUUCACUGGGUGUGCCCAUGCAUAAUAAUACUCACCAAUAACUUAGUUGAUUUGAAUUGAGGAGCUAGCAAUCAUGCUUAGGAAUGGAGUUGUUGGGAUCCUGGCAGAAUCAGUGAAAUAAAUGGUAAAGAAGGGCACCUUUAGCACCAUUACACUGUGCUAGAUUACUUCAGGGCAGAACAGGAGUUUCCAGAAUUAUUGUGCAGCCAUCCACUAAGAGAAUUCACCAUGAUUAUAAAGCAAACCAAAUCUAGAGAUGAUUUUACCGGAUAGAGCUUAUGCUUUCUUCUCCCAUACCCGUAAGGCACAGAAAGAGAAUAUGCCUUUACUGGAUAAGAUCCUAGCUGACAAACAACACAAACAGAAGCAUAUUAUAAACCAGUCAUAUGAGUAAUUCAAAGAGGAAAUGCAAACUAGAAGUCAUCACCAGUUGGCAUAUUCCUUUUCAGUUAUGUAUUCCAGUAAGCAUAAAAGGCAUUUCAGUAGGGAAUGUUCAGAAAAAGAUUCCAAAACAGCAAGGUUAGGCAGCAAUCCUGGUCAUGUUAAAUGAAGUAAUGAGUGGCAAAAUGAUUUAGUAAUCAUUGAGCAUUAUGUAAAAAUGAAAGAAUAAUCAGAGUAUGUAAAACAGCAAAAGUCAGAAAACAAAUACCAUUUGCCAGUAGUUACUAUUCGAAUCAUCAUUGAAAUUCAAGAUAUAUAGGAGUUACACAUACAGCAAACGUUACAAUCAGGAUAGACAUAUGGUAGCAAGCAUUCAAGAGUUGCAUAUGAAAAGCAUGAAUGAUUAGAAUUCCAGAUAGACAAAUACCAAACCAAAAGCCUUCAGUUAUACUUUCAUAAUAGGCAAUGAUGAGCCAGAUUAAGGGUAAAAGUAAAACAACAAUGCAAUGGGCAGCCUAAGGAUCAAUCAUCAGAAAACAUUGGUUGUUGGGACAUUUUUCAGUUAUGUGAUUGUCAUUAUCAGUAUGGUUUGAUGGCAUUCAUUGGCAGCUUCAAAUACAUUAAAACAGGAAAUGAAUAGGUCAC